UCGGAACGUAUCCAAUAAUGGGGGAUAACUAMUCGRAAGGUUGGCUAAUACCGCAUACGCCCUACGGGGGAAAGCUAGGGAUCUUCGGACCUGGCGUUAAUGGAGCGGCCGAUAUCUGAUUAGCUAGUUGGUGGGGUAAAGGCCCACCAAGGCGACGAUCAGUAGCUGGUCUGAGAGGACGACCAGCCACACUGGAACUGAGACACGGUCCAGACUCCUACGGGAGGCAGCAGUGGGGAAUUUUGGACAAUGGGCGCAAGCCUGAUCCAGCCAUUCCGCGUGAGUGAAGAAGGCCUUCGGGUUGUAAAGCUCUUUCGCAAGGGAAGAAAACUUAUCCUCUAACAUAGGGUGAGGUUGACGGUACCUUGAUAAGAAGCACCGGCUAAC
RNAcentral lists this ribosomal RNA (387 nucleotides) under uncultured bacterium. RNAcentral's name for it is "bacterial SSU rRNA". It matches the Rfam family "Bacterial small subunit ribosomal RNA", at positions 118 to 501 of the family's 1533-position model. The record is from RNAcentral.